GGGGAAUAUUGGACAAUGGGGGCAACCCUGAUCAAGCAAUGCCGCGUGUGUGAAGAGGGUCUUCGGAUUGUAAAGCACUUUCGACGGGGACGAUGAUGACGGUACCCGUAGAAGAAGCCCCGGCUAACUUCGUGCCAGCAGCCGCGGUAAUACGAAGGGGGCUAGCGUUGCUCGGAAUGACUGGGCGUAAAGGGCGCGUAGGCGGCUUGUACAGUCAGAUGUGAAAUUCCUGGGCUUAACCUGGGGGCUGCAUUUGAUACGUGCGGGCUAGAGUGUGAAAGAGGGUCGUGGAAUUCCCAGUGUAGAGGUGAAAUUCGUAGAUAUUGGGAAGAACACCGGUGGCGAAGGCGGCGACCUGGUUCAUGACUGACGCUGAGGCGCGAAAGCGUGGGGAGCAAA
This 399-nucleotide ribosomal RNA is filed under the name uncultured bacterium. RNAcentral's name for it is "bacterial SSU rRNA". It matches the Rfam family "Bacterial small subunit ribosomal RNA", at positions 356 to 772 of the family's 1533-position model. The record is from RNAcentral.